RNAcentral lists this non-coding RNA (21 nucleotides) under Mus musculus (house mouse). The record is from RNAcentral. Lineage: Eukaryota; Metazoa; Chordata; Mammalia; Rodentia; Muridae.
UGCUGACAACACAGGGAUGGA